RNAcentral lists this transfer-messenger RNA (364 nucleotides) under Kosakonia styphnolobii. RNAcentral's name for it is "Kosakonia sp. H02 transfer-messenger RNA". It matches the Rfam family "transfer-messenger RNA". From Rfam's summary of the family: Bacterial tmRNA, also known as 10Sa RNA or SsrA, is named for its dual tRNA and mRNA-like properties. Its role is to liberate the mRNA from a stalled ribosome. To accomplish this part of the tmRNA is used as a reading frame that ends in a translation stop signal. The record is from RNAcentral. Lineage: Bacteria; Pseudomonadati; Pseudomonadota; Gammaproteobacteria; Enterobacterales; Enterobacteriaceae.
GGGGCUGAUUCUGGAUUCGACGGGAUUCGCGAAACCCAAGGUGCAUGCCGAGGGGCGGUUGGCCUCGUAAAAAGCCGCAAAAAAAUAGUCGCAAACGACGAAAACUACGCUUUAGCAGCUUAAUAACCUGCUGAGAGCCCUCUCUCCCUAGCCUCCGCUCUUAGGACGGGGAUCAAGAGAGGUCAAACCCAAAAGAGAUCGCGUGGAGACCCUGCCUGGGGUUGAAGCGUUAAAACUAAUCAGGCUAGUUUGUUAGUGGCGUGUCCAUCCGCAGCUGGCAAGCGAAUGUAAAGAUUGGACUAAGCAUGUAGUACCGAGGAUGUAGGAAUUUCGGACGCGGGUUCAACUCCCGCCAGCUCCACCA